UAGUUCAAGUAUUCCAGAUG
This 20-nucleotide non-coding RNA is filed under the name Arabidopsis thaliana (thale cress). Lineage: Eukaryota; Viridiplantae; Streptophyta; Magnoliopsida; Brassicales; Brassicaceae. The record is from RNAcentral.